UGAUCCUGGCUCAGGAUGAACGCUAGCGGCAGGCCUAACACAUGCAAGUCGAGGGGCAGCGGGAGUGCUUGCACUCGCCGGCGACCGGCGCACGGGUGCGGAACGCGUAUCGAAUCUACCUCUAUCUGGGGGAUACCCCAUGGAAACGUGGAAUAAUACCCCAUAGUAUUACUUUUUCGCAUGAUUUAGUAAUUAAAGAAUUUCGGAUAGAGAUGACGAUGCGUAUCAUUAGCUAGUAGGUAAGGUAACGGCUUACCUAGGCUACGAUGAUUAGGGGUCCUGAGAGGGAGAUCCCCCACACUGGUACUGAGACACGGACCAGACUCCUACGGGAGGCAGCAGUGAGGAAUAUUGGACAAUGGUCGAAAGACUGAUCCAGCCAUGCCGCGCGCAGGAUGACUGCCCUAUGGGUUGUAAACUGCUUUUAUACGGGAAGAAAAACACCUACGUGUAGGUGACUGACGGUACCGUAAGAAUAAGGACCGGCUAACUCCGUGCCAGCAGCCGCGGUAAUACGGAGGGUCCAAGCGUUAUCCGGAAUCAUUGGGUUUAAAGGGUCCGUAGGCGGGCUAUUAAGUCAGGGGUGAAAGUUUGCAGCUCAACUGUAAAAUUGCCUUUGAUACUGGUAGUCUUGAAUUGUAGUGAAGUGGUUAGAAUAUGUGGUGUAGCGGUGAAAUGCAUAGAUAUCACAUAGAAUACCGAUUGCGAAGGCAGAUCACUAACUAUAUAUUGACGCUGAGGGACGAAAGCGUGGGGAGCGAACGGGAUUAGAUACCCCGGUAGU
This 784-nucleotide ribosomal RNA is filed under the name uncultured marine bacterium. RNAcentral's name for it is "bacterial SSU rRNA". It matches the Rfam family "Bacterial small subunit ribosomal RNA", at positions 14 to 794 of the family's 1533-position model. The record is from RNAcentral.